This 522-nucleotide ribosomal RNA is filed under the name Dushia atra. RNAcentral's name for it is "partial 16S ribosomal RNA". It matches the Rfam family "Bacterial large subunit ribosomal RNA", at positions 1796 to 2595 of the family's 2925-position model. Lineage: Eukaryota; Metazoa; Nemertea; Pilidiophora; Heteronemertea; Lineidae. The record is from RNAcentral.
UCGCCUGUUUAUCCAAAAACAUAGUCUGUUGCUUUUUAUACAGGUAUUUUCUGCCCGGUGGGUGACUAAACGGCCGCGGUACUCUGACCGUGCAAAGGUAGCAUAAUCACUUGUUCUUUAAUUGGGGACUGGAAUGAAGGAAAGUUUGAAGGCCUUGCUGUCUCCUCUGCCUGUUGGAACUUGCUGUUUUUGUGAGGAAGCAAAAAUUCCCUAAAGGGACAAGAAGACCCUAUUAAGCUUCUAUUUUUUUGGAGCCAAUGGAGUUCUUUUAAGUAGUCCCCGUUGGCUCGGUAAAAUUUGGUUGGGGCGACUAAAGAAGAGGAAAUCUUCUUUUUUUGAGGUACUUUGAGUUUAAAGUUGACCCGGCACGUGCCGGUUGAAAGAACUAGUUACUAUAGGGAUAACAGCGUAAUCCUCUCGGAGAGUUCUUAUUGAGGGGGGGGGUUGCGACCUCGAUGUUGACUUGCUAUUUCCUUCUAAGGUGCAGCAGCUGUGAGGGUGGUCUGUUCGACCAUUAAAAUG